CGAACACUGACUGAGGACGCCCUGCAUGUGUGGCGCUGCCUGCAUGGCCUUGCCUAGGAGGGGUUUCUAUCGCACAUCCUUCCUUUCAUUAUUCCCGCCAAGAUUUUCUCCUCUAAAUCUCCAGGACUGACUCAGUCCAAGCCCUGAACAGUGCUUUCAGUGGACUUUCCCGUGAGUCACGGGCAAUGGACCGACACAGGG
Molecule: long non-coding RNA, 201 nt
Filed under: Bos taurus (domestic cattle)
Lineage: Eukaryota; Metazoa; Chordata; Mammalia; Artiodactyla; Bovidae
Description: long non-coding RNA NONBTAT019387
Source: RNAcentral